AGAGUUUGAUCCUGGCUCAGAGUGAACGCUGGCGGUAUGCUUAACACAUGCAAGUCGAACGAGAACGGUAUAUUCUUCGGAAUAUAUGUCAGCUAAGUGGCGCACGGGUGAGUAACACGUAGCUACCUGCCUCAUAGACCGGGAUAACAGUUGGAAACGACUGCUAAUACUGGAUAUACCCUAAGGGGGAAAGAUUUUAUCGCUAUGAGAUGGGGCUGCGGUGUAUCAGUUAGUUGGUGAGGUAAAGGCUCACCAAGACUAUGACGCAUAACUGGUCUGAGAGGAUGGUCAGUCACACUGGAACUGAGACACGGUCCAGACUCCUACGGGAGGCAGCAGUGGGGAAUAUUGCACAAUGGAGGAAACUCUGAUGCAGCAAUACCGCGUGGAGGAAGAAGCAUUUCGGUGUGUAAACUCCUUUUAUAUUCGAAGAUAAUGACGGUAGAAUAUGAAUAAGCACCGGCUAACUCCGUGCCAGCAGCCGCGGUAAUACGGAGGGUGCAAGCGUUACUCGGAAUCACUGGGCGUAAAGAGCGCGUAGGCGGGUUGUUAAGUUGAAAGUGAAAGCCCACAGCUCAACUGUGGGACUGCUUCCAAAACUGGCAACCUAGAAUUUGGGAGAGGUAAGUGGAAUUCCUGGUGUAGGGGUGAAAUCCGUAGAGAUCA
Molecule: ribosomal RNA, 666 nt
Filed under: uncultured Campylobacterota bacterium
Lineage: Bacteria; Pseudomonadati; Campylobacterota
Description: bacterial SSU rRNA
Rfam family: Bacterial small subunit ribosomal RNA
Source: RNAcentral